ACGAAUUCAAGUCGAUACGUUGUGCUGGUGGCAACACAUGUGCACGCGUGUCGCAAACAUCCACACACCUGUGAACUAUAGACUCUGAGAUUGAGCACCCGGACUUUGUCCACGUGCGAGGGGACCUUCGCGUCCUCCGUCUCGGGGUAUUUUUACAUACUCUUAAUGUGAUAGAAUGUAUAUGUGUUUAACACAACUAUA
RNAcentral lists this unclassified non-coding RNA (201 nucleotides) under soil metagenome. RNAcentral's name for it is "partial internal transcribed spacer 1". The record is from RNAcentral.